AGGACAAGGUAGGUAAAACUUUAAUUCAAUUGAAACCCACUUUCACCUCCUCUGCUCUUUGUUGACCUCUCUAAAUUAUACCUUCCAUUUUCCCAGAUUUGCCCCCCUUCUUCUUCCUCUUCUUCCUCCUCCUCACACUCUUUCCCAAAUUUCCCAGAUUUUUAUUUUUCAUUUUUCCAAACCCUAUUUUAAUUAUACUGAACAAAUCCCAGCUACUUUAUUUGUUUUUCUCCAUGAAAGUCUUACCUUAAAAAGUCAAUAUGGAGGGUCACUUCUAAACUUCUUCCCAGCUUCUUUAUUCAGUUUUCCAAUUAGGGUUUCUCUGUUCUUCUGCUCUCAGUCUUUUUGGGAUCUGGGUUUUUAAUUUUAGAGUCUUUUGAUUCGUGGGUUUAGUUUAAUUCAGUCCAAUUUAGCCUAGUUUUGCUUAAUUUCUCUCUCCCCCUUUUCCCUCUAAAAGUCAAAUGCAAAAUACCCCUUUCUUUUCUGGGUUAAGACUGGUGUUUGAAUUUGCCCCUUCAAAUGGUUUGAAUUCAAAAUUUACUACCGAUUUUUGGGGUUGAUCUUGAUUAGAGAUCAGCUCUUUUGCUGGGGAUUCCUUGUGGUCCAAAUUUAGACUUUCCUUUUAAUUUAUUUUAUCCGGUCCUUUAUUUCACCUUUGAAUCUCUUCAGUUCUUUGUGGUUUUGAAUGCUUUGCUAAAGCAAACAUUCUCUCUCCUGGAGAAUUUGUUUGAAGCUGCCAACUUUUGCUGAAAGCAGUCUAUUAGAAUUGGGAGAAAGCAAUUCAGGUUGAUUCCUUCUUUCUAAGUUUUGAAUUUGAACCUGAUUUCUCUCUUUUUUUUUCUCUCUGGGUUGAAGAGUUGGAGCUUGAAAGUUGGUAAAUUAAUUUUAUUUUGUCAGGGUUAGGUUUUUGGUAUUCUUUGUUCUGAUGCAUCUCUCACUAUGGAAGCCUAUUUCCCACUGUGUUCAUUUGAUCAUUGACAAAAAAGGUAGAAGAAAAGAUGGGUCUGAAUUUGGGGAAGAUGGUAAGAGAAACCCUUCAGUUCUCAGGAAAUUACAGGAGAGCAAGCUUAGAGAAGCUCUUGAAGAAGCAUCUGAAGAUGGGUCUCUUCUCAAAUCCACCUUAGACAAUGAAGCUGAGGCCAAUUCCAACAAAGACGAGGGCCUCGGCCGUUCGAGAUCUCUUGCAAGGCUUCAAGCUCUCAAAGAAUUUCUCAGGGCAACUGCAUUAGCUGCGGAGCGUACUUUCGAAACCGAAGACUCGAUUCCUGCACUUAAUGAGGCCUUUUCUAAGUUCCUCACUAUGUAUCCCAAGUAUCAGUCUUCUGAGAGGAUUGAUCAGCUGAGGUUAGAUGAAUAUGGGCAACUUACAGGGCCAGCUGCAAAGGUAUGUCUUGACUACUGUGGAUUUGGGCUGUUUUCUCACCUACAGACUCUCUAUUAUUGGGACACUUCAAGUUUUAGCUUGUCUGAGAUGUCUGCUAAUCUGAGUAAUCAUGUGUUGUAUGGUGGUGCUGAUAAAGGGACUGUUGAACAUGAUAUUAAAACUAGAAUUAUGGAUUAUUUGAACAUUCCUGAGAAUGAAUAUGGGAUUGUCUUUACUGUAAGUAGAGGUUCAGCUUUUAAAUUGUUGGCUGAAGCAUACCCUUUUCAUACAAACAAGAAACUGUUAACCAUGUUUGAUCAUGAGAGCCAAUCUGUGAAUUGGAUGGCCCAAGCUGCUAAGGAGAAAGGGGCGAAAAGUUAUAGUGCAUGGUUUAAAUGGCCUACUCUUAAACCCUGCUCAGCUGAUCUUAGGAAGCAGAUUUUGAAUAAGAAGAAGAGGAAGAAGGAUUCUGCAGUUGGUCUUUUUGCUUUUCCUGUUCAGUCCAGGGUGACGGGAUCCAAGUACUCGUACCAAUGGAUGGCUCUGGCACAACAGAACAAUUGGCAUGUUUUGCUAGAUGCUGGUGCUUUGGGACCGAAGGAUAUGGAUUCACUUGGGUUGUCUUUAUUUCGUCCUGACUUCAUAAUCACAUCAUUUUAUAGGGUGUUUGGGUUUGAUCCCAGUGGAUUUGGAUGCCUCCUUAUCAAAAAAUCUGUGUUAGGAUGUCUUCAAAAUCAAUCUGGGGUUACUGGAACUGGAAUGGUGAAGAUCACUCCGGUCUUUCCACAGUAUUUGGGUGAUUCGAUGGAUGGUCUUGAUGGGCUGAUUGGCGUUGAGGAUGAUGAAGUCGAUGAGAAUGGAGAAUUUAAAGUUGACACUCAAAAGGGUUCGCAGAUGCCAGCUUUUUCCGGUGCUUUUACUUCUGCUCAGGUCAAGGAUGUAUUUGAGACUGAGAUGGAUCAUGAAAUAUGUUCUGACAGAGAUGGUGCUAGCACAAUCUUCGAAGAGACUGAGAGUAUCUCUGUUGGGGAGGUGAUGAAGAGCCCUAUCUUCAGUGAGGAUGAAUCAUCUGACAAUUCAUUCUGGAUUGACUUAGGUCAAAGUCCAAUUGGUUCCGAACAUGCGGGCCAGCUAGAGAGACAGAGAUCCACUCCUUCACCACCCUUAUGGUUUACUGGUAGGAAAGAUGCAAAGAGGGUCUCUCCGAAGCCAGCAGGGAACAAUUCUAGGAGCCCGACAUAUGAUGGGCGGCAUAUGUUAUCAUUCGAUGCUGCAGUUCAAUCAGUCUCACGCAGUAUUGAUAAUGUCCAUGAGAUCAAUGAAGAAAUACACACUAUUAAUGAGAUAGAGGAGUAUGAAGAUGAAAAGGCAAGCAACAAAGCAUCCCUGAAUUCUUCGGUGAAUGGAGGCAACUACAACUGUCGCAUUUCGGCAUCUCGUGGUAUCAUGUCAGAUGUAUGUGCAGAGUCGAAAGAAAGUGCUAUUAGAAGAGAAACAGAAGGUGAGUUCAGGCUUUUGGGAAGGAGGGAUGGCAAUAAAUUUGGUGGAGGCAGGGUUGUAUGUUUUGAAGAAGAGGAUAUUGCUAGCAAAGGCAGGAGGGUGUCCUUCAGUACAGAGGACAAUCACAGAGGGCACUCUAGUCAUACUUUGGAGGCAGGUGAGACGUCUGCUAGUAACCUUGAAGACUAUGACUAUGCAAGUGACGGGGACUAUGGUGACGACCCAGAAUCGGGUAGGAGAGAACCAGAGAUAAUCUGCCGACAUCUUGAUCAUAUAAACAUGUUGGGCCUCAACAGAACUACAUCUAGAUUACGGUUUUUGAUAAAUUGGCUUGUGACAUCACUUUUGCAGUUGAGAUUCCCUGGUCCAGAUGAAAAAAAUAGUGUGCCUUUAGUCCAAAUAUACGGACCUAAAAUUAAAUACGAAAGAGGUGCUGCUGUUGCUUUCAAUGUGAGAAACUGCAAUCGGGGGCUUAUUAAUCCAGAGGUUGUCCAAAAACUUGCUGAAUCACAUGGGAUCGGUCUUGGUGUUGGCAUCCUAAGCCAUAUGAGAAUUAUGGAUGGUCCGGGGAAUUCAAAUGGGGAGUUGAACAUUGCAGAUACAACAUUGUGCAAGCCAAUGACAAGUGGCCGUUUUGACGGAAAAAGUGGCUUCUUUAGAGUGGAGGUUGUCACAGCAUCACUUAGCUUUUUGACCAACUUCGACGAUGUGUACAAGUUGUGGGCUUUUGUUGCGAAGUUUCUUAAUCCAGCCUUUACAACAGAGAUUGGACUUUCAACUGUUGAAGAAGAUUCAGAGACAUGACACUGUGCCACUGAAGCUACCUCUCUUUGUUCAAUUCAAGAGCCAUCACAUUGUAGUGAAAGUUUGGGAUGUAAAUUUCAUCCUGUCAAAAUGAAGAUCAUGAAGAAUACAAGAGGGCAGGAUCAUUUUCAUAUCUUUGGAUUCUCAACACCUUCAGACACUUUCAUUGCCCCGUGGAAUUUCUGUUUUAGACUACUCUGUUUUUUGUAGCUCCAUGCCUCCACAGUACCUACCUGUCACUUCUCCAAGAUGUUUUUCAAUUACCAUCCUCAGUAUUUGUUUUGAAGCGGCAGAAUAGCAGGGAAAUGAUCAAGCUGUGGAGUAGAAGAAACGCCUCUUUUGUGCAAUGGACGUGUUUCAGCUGCUACCAUUUUAGGUUUGUGCUGUUUUGGUGUCCUUACAGAUUGUCUUGUUCUGUUUUUGGGUGGGUACAAUAGGGGGGACUCUUUCUCAGUCAUUACUCUUGUUGGUGCAUCACCUUAAUUUUUUCGGAAUACCGAAAUUUUUCCUAAUAUGUGUUGAAAAUAACUUAACAAUCCACCCGGAGAUUUUGUGCCUCAAAGGUGUAUGUUUUUGUGGUAGUUUUGCUUUGCAUUAUUUAGUGCAAGUAUUUGCUUGUUCUCUUUUGUGGUUUAUGUUAUGAUUUUGUUCUCUUCA
RNA transcript from Spinacia oleracea (spinach), 4324 nucleotides. RefSeq lists it as uncharacterized. Lineage: Eukaryota; Viridiplantae; Streptophyta; Magnoliopsida; Caryophyllales; Amaranthaceae. The transcript has 2 exons. The record is from RefSeq and is a predicted model, not a curated record.